GCAAGGAUAGUUUAAUGGUAGAAUCCAGGCUUCCCAUGCCUGGGGUUCGGGUUCGAUUCCCGGUCCUUGCA
Molecule: transfer RNA, 71 nt
Rfam family: tRNA
About the family: Transfer RNA (tRNA) molecules are approximately 80 nucleotides in length. Their secondary structure includes four short double-helical elements and three loops (D, anti-codon, and T loops).
Source: Rfam